GUGACCCCGCUGACCCCGCCCCUCCCCCAGGCCGCCCUCGGGGGGCUCCUCGGCGUCGCCAGCGCCCGCCUGGGCUCCAUGAAGACGCGCUUCGAGGGGCUGUGCCUGCUGUCGCUGCUGGUGAGCGAGAGCCCCAGCGAGGCCUUCCAGCAGCACUGCCUGGGCUGGCUGCGCCUCCUGCAGCACCUGCUACAGUCGCAGGACCCCCCUCCCACGGUGGCCCUGGGGGUGUUUUGGGGGGUCCC
Long non-coding RNA from Passer montanus (Eurasian tree sparrow), 245 nucleotides. RefSeq lists it as uncharacterized. The transcript is spliced from 3 exons. The record is from RefSeq and is a predicted model, not a curated record. Lineage: Eukaryota; Metazoa; Chordata; Aves; Passeriformes; Passeridae.